CUACGUUGUCUUGAAACUAAACAGAGGAAUUUUGUGUUACCUCUGGUCUGUCUGUAGCCUGCAUUUAAAAUGUAUUUGUCUAAACUUGAGCAACAUCACAUUUGAAACUAUUUCAGGAGUGAGUUAGUCUGCACCAGUGUUACCUGAGCUGCAGAGCAUUUCACAACAGUUCCUGGCCAGGUAUGUUUGAAGUCAAGUUAUGGCCAAGAUCAUUAAAAAGCAGACUAUGAGACAGUACCUUUUAAAAUUCCAGGUCAGAGUGAACAGACCAGUUUGGGAGGCAGUAGUGUACGUAGUACAUUUGUGUCCGAAGGACCUCAGCCACACUGGGCGUUUCUGAGAUAGGCAUUUUGUGAUUGUGAGGCCUGUUUCUUUGCAGUGUAAUUAAUAGAUUUCACUGUGAUGUGGGGGCAGACCAGCAAGUUACCAGAAGAGGGUGUAGCAGGAGUAAGCUGAAGCAUGAACACCCAUGUGCUGACCAGUACCUGCCUGCCUACGUGCACUUGCCACUCAGUGGAAGAGGGUGCUGCCUAGAAACCUGAGGCUCACAGUGCUCCAAGCUGGAAAUACUCCUAAGAAGAUUGUCUCUGUCUCAGAAAUCUUAAACAAUAAAUAAAAGACAAAAAUUUAAGA
Long non-coding RNA from Strigops habroptila (Kakapo), 633 nucleotides. RefSeq lists it as uncharacterized. The record is from RefSeq and is a predicted model, not a curated record. Lineage: Eukaryota; Metazoa; Chordata; Aves; Psittaciformes; Psittacidae. The transcript has 2 exons.